RNAcentral lists this ribosomal RNA (253 nucleotides) under uncultured bacterium. RNAcentral's name for it is "partial 16S ribosomal RNA". It matches the Rfam family "Bacterial small subunit ribosomal RNA", at positions 524 to 776 of the family's 1533-position model. The record is from RNAcentral.
UACAGAGGUCCCAAGCGUUGUUCGGAUUCACUGGGCGUAAAGGGUGCGUAGGCGGUUGGGUAAGUCUGUCGUGAAAUCUCCGAGCCUAACUCGGAAACUGCGUCGGAUACUAUUCAACUCGAGGAAUGGAGGGGAGACUGGAAUUCUCGGUGUAGCAGUGAAAUGCGUAGAUAUCGAGAGGAACACCAGUGGCGAAGGCGGGUCUCUGGGCCGAUACUGACGCUGAGGAGCGAAAGCGUGGGGAGCGAACAGG